AACCCCUGUGAACAUACCACUUGUUGCCUCGGCGGAUCAGCCCGCUCCCGGUAAAACGGGACGGCCCGCCAGAGGACCCCUAAACUCUGUUUCUAUAUGUAACUUCUGAGUAAAACCAUAAAUAAAUCAAAACUUUCAACAACGGAUCUCUUGGUUCUGGCAUCGAUGAAGAACGCAGCAAAAUGCGAUAAGUAAUGUGAAUUGCAGAAUUCAGUGAAUCAUCGAAUCUUUGAACGCACAUUGCGCCUGCCAGUAUUCUGGCGGGCAUGCCUGUUCGAGCGUCAUUUCAACCCUCAAGCACAGCUUGGUGUUGGGACUCGCGUUAAUUCGCGUUCCCCAAAUUGAUUGGCGGUCACGUCGAGCUUCCAUAGCGUAGUAGUAAAACCCUCGUUACUGGUAAUCGUCGCGGCCACGCCGUUAAACCCCAACUUCUGAAUGUUGACCUCGGAUCAGGUAGGAAUACCCGCUGAACUUAAGCAUAUCAA
This 485-nucleotide ribosomal RNA is filed under the name Fusarium oxysporum. RNAcentral describes it as "eukaryotic LSU rRNA". The stretch from base 131 to 284 matches the Rfam family "5.8S ribosomal RNA". Lineage: Eukaryota; Fungi; Ascomycota; Sordariomycetes; Hypocreales; Nectriaceae. The record is from RNAcentral.